AUAAAGCCCCAUAACCCCCCAAGGCCCCACAGCCCCCCAACACCCCGUAAGGCCCCAUAACUCCCAUAAAGCCCCAUAGCCCCCAUAAGGCCCCAUAGCCCCCCCACACCCCAUAGCCCCCAUAAGGCCCCAUAGGCCCCAUAAGGGCCCACAGCCUCCAUAGCCCCAUAGGACCCCAUAGCCCCAUAAGGCCCCACAGCCCCCAUAGCCCCAUAAGGCCCCAGAGCCGCCCCAUAGGGCCCCAUAGCCCCAUAAGGCCCCACAUCCCAUAGCCCCCAUAAGGCCCCACAGCCGCCCCAUAGGGCCCCAUAGACCCCAUAACCGCCAUAGCCCCCCCACACCCCAUAGCCCCAUAAGGCCCCACAGCCCCCAUAGCCCCAUAAGGCCCCACAGCCCCCAUAAGGCCACAGAGCCGCCCCAUAGGCCUCAUAACCCCCCAUACCCCAUAGCCCCAUAAGGCCCCAGAGCCCCCAUAAGGCCCCACAGCCCCCCCAUAAGGCCCCAUAGCCCCAUAAGGUCCCACAGCCCCCAUAGUCCCCAUAAGGCCCCAUAAGCCCUAUAAGGCCUCAUAGCCCCCCCACACCCCAUAGCCCCACAAGGCCCCACAGCCCCCAUAGUCCCUAUAGGGCCCCAUAACCCCCAUAGCCCCCCCACACCCCACAGCCCCAUAAGGCCGCCCCAUAAGGCCCCACAGCCCCAUAAUG
This 704-nucleotide long non-coding RNA is filed under the name Gallus gallus (chicken). RNAcentral's name for it is "lncRNA (ENSGALG00010004100.1)". Lineage: Eukaryota; Metazoa; Chordata; Aves; Galliformes; Phasianidae. The record is from RNAcentral.